Molecule: ribosomal RNA, 769 nt
Filed under: uncultured marine microorganism
Description: bacterial SSU rRNA
Rfam family: Bacterial small subunit ribosomal RNA
Source: RNAcentral
AGAGUUUGAUCAUGGCUCAGGAUGAACGCUGGCGGCGUGCUUAACACAUGCAAGUCGAACGAACCUUCGGGUUAGUGGCGGACGGGUGAGUAACGCGUGAGAAUCUGCCCUCAGGAGGGGGAUAACGGUUGGAAACGACCGCUAAUACCCCAUAUGCCUACUGGUGAAAUGAAUUUCGCCUGAGGAUGAGCUCGCGUCUGAUUAGCUAGUUGGUGAGGUAAUGGCUCACCAAGGCUUCGAUCAGUAGCUGGUCUGAGAGGAUGAUCAGCCACACUGGGACUGAGACACGGCCCAGACUCCUACGGGAGGCAGCAGUGGGGAAUUUUCCGCAAUGGGCGAAAGCCUGACGGAGCAACGCCGCGUGAGGGACGAAGGCCUCUGGGCUGUAAACCUCUUUUCUCAAGGAAGAAGAUAUGACGGUACUUGAGGAAUAAGCCACGGCUAAUUCCGUGCCAGCAGCCGCGGUAAUACGGGAGUGGCAAGCGUUAUCCGGAAUUAUUGGGCGUAAAGCGUCCGCAGGCGGCUUUUCAAGUCUGCUGUUAAAGCGUGGAGCUUAACUCCAUCAUGGCAGUGGAAACUGAAAGGCUUGAGUAUGGUAGGGGCAGAGGGAAUUCCCGGUGUAGCGGUGAAAUGCGUAGAUAUCGGGAAGAACACCAGUGGCGAAGGCGCUCUGCUGGGCCAUUACUGACGCUCAUGGACGAAAGCCAGGGGAGCGAAAGGGAUUAGAUACCCCUGUAGUCCUGGCCGUAAACGAUGAACACUAGGUGUC